RNAcentral lists this ribosomal RNA (253 nucleotides) under uncultured bacterium. RNAcentral describes it as "partial 16S ribosomal RNA". It matches the Rfam family "Bacterial small subunit ribosomal RNA", at positions 524 to 776 of the family's 1533-position model. The record is from RNAcentral.
UACAGAGGUCUCAAGCGUUGUUCGGAUUCAUUGGGCGUAAAGGGUGCGUAGGCGGCGAGGUAAGUCGGAUGUGAAAUCCCGGGGAUCAACCCCGGAACUGCAUUCGAUACUGCUUUGCUUGAGUACUGGAGAGGAGACUGGAAUUUACGGUGUAGCAGUGAAAUGCGUAGAUAUCGUAAGGAAGACCAGGGGCGAAGGCGAGUCUCUGGACAGUUACCGACGCUGAGGCACGAAGGCCAGGGGAGCAAACGGG